This 440-nucleotide ribosomal RNA is filed under the name uncultured bacterium. Its description in RNAcentral is "partial 16S ribosomal RNA". It matches the Rfam family "Bacterial small subunit ribosomal RNA", at positions 339 to 795 of the family's 1533-position model. The record is from RNAcentral.
CUACGGGAGGCUCCAGUGAGGAAUAUUGCACAAUGGGGGAAACCCUGAUGCAGCAACGCCGCGUGGAGGAUGACGCAUUUCGGUGUGUAAACUCCUUUUAUCAGAGAAGAAAAUGACGGUAUCUGAUGAAUAAGCUCCGGCUGAACUCCGUGCCAGCAGCCGCGGUAAUACGGAGGGAGCAAGCGUUAUUCGGAAUCACUGGGCGUAAAGGACGCGUAGGCGGGUUUUUAAGUCAGGUGUGAAAUCCUAUGGCUCAACCAUAGAACUGCACUUGAAACUGGGGACCUAGAGUAUGGAAGGGGCAGGUGGAAUUAGUGGUGUAGGGGUAAUAUCCGUAGAUAUCACUAGGAAUACCGAAAGCGAAGGCGACCUGCUGGGACAUUACUGACGCUGAGGCGUGAAAGCGUGGGGAGCAAACAGGAUUAGAUACCCCGGUAGUC